Molecule: long non-coding RNA, 220 nt
Filed under: Brassica napus (rape)
Lineage: Eukaryota; Viridiplantae; Streptophyta; Magnoliopsida; Brassicales; Brassicaceae
Description: long non-coding RNA (BNAP_LNC010176)
Source: RNAcentral
AUAGUGCACACACCUAUAUUCUACUCAAUUGUGAGGAUCCAUUGAUGCGUUAUUUUGAAAUGUAACAUAUAUGGACACUUCUAAACACAUAUAAGUAUAUAAUUGCGAAAGAUUAAUUAAUAUAAAAUGUGAUUUUACAGCCUAUUUGUUCUCAAGUCGAAGAAACAUUUCCAUGUAUAUCCACAAGUGACGUAGACAAAAGGAAAGAUCAACACUUUAU